RNAcentral lists this unclassified non-coding RNA (243 nucleotides) under uncultured bacterium. RNAcentral's name for it is "contains 16S-23S intergenic spacer region". The record is from RNAcentral.
CGAAAAGAGAGAAAACAGUUGAAGCUAAAACUGCCUAUAUCUUACAGAUAUUCCUUUGGAGGAACUGUUUCUCAAAGAAAAACUAUUUCUCAGUCGAUUUAACCAUGACAAUUUCAUUUCACCAGAGCCAGUGCACUGACCCUCAUCCUCCCCCUCGCUGCUGAAAAGGGUUUGGUCACCGCAGUCCAGUGAAGCUCCACAUGCUAGGUUAUAAGCCUGGCAUGCAGAAUGGCAUACUCGUAG